Molecule: long non-coding RNA, 373 nt
Organism: Mizuhopecten yessoensis (Yesso scallop)
Lineage: Eukaryota; Metazoa; Mollusca; Bivalvia; Pectinida; Pectinidae
Exons: 3
Source: RefSeq, a predicted model, not a curated record
CCGAGUGAUAUUCGCAGAAAGUCCGUCAGCCCCUGGUAUACCAGUGGUGUAUCGCACUCCUGAUGAAAGGUCUUCCAAUCCAGACAGACUCAACCUAGACAGACGGAAACUGACAGUAUGUCCGAUACUGGAGGGAGAGGAACAGCUUCGGCUGCUGAACUACCAACACAACAUGAUCAACAAGAUCCAGCACCUCAGCUCCCUGAAGCGCCUCAUCUUCCUCGACCUGUAUGAUAACCAGAUUGAGGAGAUUUCCGGCCUCAGUGCACUCAAGUCUUUACGGGUACUCAUGUUGGGCAAGAACAAAAUUAAAAGAAUAGAAAAUUUAGAAACACUUUGUAAACUGGAUGUGCUGGACUUACAUGGUAAUCAG